This 467-nucleotide ribosomal RNA is filed under the name uncultured bacterium. RNAcentral describes it as "partial 16S ribosomal RNA". It matches the Rfam family "Bacterial small subunit ribosomal RNA", at positions 28 to 507 of the family's 1533-position model. The record is from RNAcentral.
GACGAACGCUGGCGGCGUGCUUAACACAUGCAAGUCGAACGGAAAGGCCUCUUUCGGGGGGUACUCGAGUGGCGAACGGGUGAGUAACACGUGAGUAACCUGCCCUUGACUUUGGGAUAACUUCAGGAAACUGGGGCUAAUACCGGAUAGGAGCUCCUGCUGCAUGGUGGGGGUUGGAAAGUUUCGGCGGUUGGGGUUGGACUCGCGGCUUAUCAGCUUGUUGGUGGGGGAGUGGCUUACCAAGGCUUUGACGGGUAGCCGGCCUGAGAGGGUGACCGGCCACAGUGGGACUGAGAUACGGCCCAGACUCCUACGGGAGGCAGCAGUGGGGAAUAUUGCACAAUGGGUGGAAGCCUGAUGCAGCAACGCCGUGUGCGGGAUGACGGCCUUCGGGUUGUAAACCGCUUUCGCUCAUGACGAAGCUUUGUGUGACGGUAGUGGGUAAAGAAGCACCGGCUAACUACGUG